Non-coding RNA from Xiphophorus couchianus (Monterrey platyfish), 968 nucleotides. NCBI's taxonomy places the organism in Eukaryota, Metazoa, Chordata, Actinopteri, Cyprinodontiformes, Poeciliidae. The record is from the annotation of a RefSeq genome assembly.
AAAAGUUGAAAUUUUGUGACUUUUCAAACUCCAAAGUUUCAAAUUCCAAGUGUUUUUCAAGAUCAUUUUUGACAUCUCAAAAUUGUUCUUUUUUUUUUUGUUUGGCGGAAAUUUACACUUUUUUUUUUUUCUCCAUCUACAAUGGCCCUAAUGGGGCCCCGUAACUCCCAUAUUGGCGCUCUGUAAUUUACACCCAGGCUGUACCGCUGGCGGCGAGUCGGUGUCCCAGACUCCUACGCUGUGGACGAAUCAGGACGCCGACGCCACGAUGCAGUGCGGCCACACAAAGGGCAGCACGUACCGCCUGAUGUACUGGUACCAGCAGCUGCCGGGUCAGAACAUUAAGCUGAUCGUUUUCACCACGGCGUACAGCACACCCGAGUACGACCCGGGCUUCACGGAGGAGAAGUUUCCGGCGCAGAAGAAGAACGCGGAGACGGGAUCUCUGACGGUGAAGGAGGUGAAGCCUGAAGACAGCGGAGUGUAUUUCUGUUCUGUCAGUGAGACACAGUGACCCAGCUGAUUAAAGGAGCUGCACAAAAACCCGGCUGAGACCCAGAGAACGGAAAUAUAUUGUUUUGAGCUGCCUCUAGAGGGCGCUAUAGACCACAUUACACAUCACUAAUACCUUCUAGGAGAGGUUACUGACUACAAUGGGUUUAUUUUGACUGUAUAUUUCUCUAUGUGCCAUCAAAUAUACAUCACUGCCAAUAAAACACAGCAAUUCAACGUGACAAAAGUUAAUCAGAUACGAAUGCUUAUUGCAAGACUGCAAUAUGCGCUUCUUUUUUUUUCUCCAGAUUUUGCUUUAUUUGGUUGCUGGAGUUGUUCAUUUCUUUUUAAGAAUGAAAUCCAUAAAAAAAAUAAUGGUGGCCAACAAAAGUUGUUUCAUGGAACAAGUAAAAUUUAACCCUCAGGAUGCAACAGGCUAAAAAGCAUGUUUUGUGUUUUUGUUUCAUUAUCAUGAA